RNAcentral lists this long non-coding RNA (1503 nucleotides) under Hordeum vulgare. RNAcentral describes it as "long non-coding RNA (HVUL_LNC008703)". The record is from RNAcentral. Lineage: Eukaryota; Viridiplantae; Streptophyta; Magnoliopsida; Poales; Poaceae.
GCUCGAUUCGGAGCUCAUUUGCAGAAGUUAUGAUAGUUCUCGUGUUCCUGCAUUCAUCCGUUUCCUUUUGUUCUGGUUCUGAAGGUACCAAGCGGUUGUACCGCAUUGGCUAGCGGUAGCACCUCCUAUCUCUAUAAGCGGUCGUACCGAUUUGGGCCAGCAGUAGUACCGCCCUAGGUGGUAGUACCACUGCCCAGUGCCAUGUGUGGUGCCGCUAUCUCUGGGGUUUCGACUUUCGUGUCGGACUGCGCGGUAGUGGAGACGGUAGUGCGGCGCGGUAGUACCGCCGGUCACUACCGCUCAAUUAUCGCCUAACCUUUUGUUCCCGAAACUCUCUCAACGAACAUAGGGCGGAUGUCGGCCUAGUGGGAACCGGAGUACCACGACUCGUCUGCCUUUGGCCUAGGAGGUGACACUGGGCCAUCCCGCAGAAGAUGGCUCGACCGGGCUGCCCCGGAAGAAGUCGCCUCGCGAGGGGCAGCUCUUGCGAGGCUCCUCGCCGCCCGGUCAGGUGUGCCGAGGUCGCCAGGUACUAGCUCUCCUCAUGAGGUUUUGAUGCCCCCGUAUUAAUCAUGCACUAAUCAUACACGCAAAUGCGCACAAUCAAGAUCAGAGACUCAUGGGAAGAUAUCACAACACAACUCUAGACACAAAUUCAAACAUAAAGCUUUAUAUUACAAGCACGACCAUGAAGGCGCGAAUACAUAAGUCAGCGGAAGCAACAAUAUACAAACACAAUUAAACAAGUUUGCCUUAAGAAGGCUGAGCAAAACAACGACAUCUAGAUCAAAAAGGCCCACGCCUCCUGCCUGGGAGCCUCCUGUCUACUCCUGGCCGUCGACGACCUCCACGUAGUAGUAAGUUCUGUCGGGGUAGUAGUAGCCGUCGACGGGAUCAGCUGGCUCCUGGGCUCCGUCAUUUGAUGGCAACAAUCGUCUCAAGGGGGAAAGGGGAGCAAAGCAAUUGUGAGUACUCAACCAAAGUACUCACAAGACGUACAUUAGGUCUAUGCUAAAUAUGCAUCAGUAUCAAGGGGAAGGGGCUGUAUUUGUGGACCAUACUGCAGAAAUGCCAAAAUAGAAGGGAAGACCUACCCUAUCGAAGACUAGCAUCUUGUAGCAUCUUGCAACAUUAGAAGAGUACAUAUUAGUAUAACAUAUGUAAUAAGUAUGUAGUAGAAAUGCCCAGAGAUCUUUCCUCGACUCCGUGCGGGAAAGCAAUCCCGGAGCCAUCAUAUCCAUUUAGUGUCUCCAGUAUCCAAUUCUAGUUGUAAUAGAUCGGGAUACAACUUCGAGCGUCCGUUACCGUGGACAUAGCUAUUCGAAUAGAUAUACUUCCCUGCAGGGGUGCGCAAACUUAUCCAACACGCUCGAUUAACUCCGAUCAAACACAGUUUUCUGUGUCAUGCCCGACCUCGGCUGAUCGACACACCAUAGUCCUAACUAGGCUCAACAGAGAGGCCAGCACGCCGGUCUAAAUCCUAAGCGCUCAUGAUGUUUGUCA